This is a long non-coding RNA of Eptesicus fuscus (big brown bat), 218 nucleotides long. RefSeq lists it as uncharacterized. The transcript is spliced from 3 exons. The record is from RefSeq and is a predicted model, not a curated record. Lineage: Eukaryota; Metazoa; Chordata; Mammalia; Chiroptera; Vespertilionidae.
GUUUCUUCUUCCGAUGGUUGGAGGAGGACCCCGAGGGUCACGCGUCACAAAUGCAUUAUUACUGCAUCUACAAAGUUCAACACCACUUCCUUCUGCCCCCCAUGGUUUCACGUGAGAAAUCUGCUGUCACCGUGCUGGUGUUCCCAUGCAGAAUUGGUCAUUGCUCGUGAAAUCACUUUUAUGAUGCUGACUUCAAAAAUCUUUGUUAGAUAAAUCCA